GAUGAACGCUGGCGGCGUGCCUAAUACAUGCAAGUCGAGCGAACAGACGAGGAGCUUGCUCCUCUGACGUUAGCGGCGGACGGGUGAGUAACACGUGGAUAACCUACCUAUAAGACUGGGAUAACUUCGGGAAACCGGAGCUAAUACCGGAUAAUAUAUUGAACCGCAUGGUUCAAUAGUGAAAGACGGUUUUGCUGUCACUUAUAGAUGGAUCCGCGCCGCAUUAGCUAGUUGGUAAGGUAACGGCUUACCAAGGCAACGAUGCGUAGCCGACCUGAGAGGGUGAUCGGCCACACUGGAACUGAGACACGGUCCAGACUCCUACGGGGGCAGCAGUAGGGAAUCUUCCGCAAUGGGCGAAAGCUUGACGGAGCAACGCCGCGUGAGUGAUGAAGGUCUUCGGAUCGUAAAACUCUGUUAUUAGGGAAGAACAAAUGUGUAAGUAACUAUGCACGUCUUGACGGUACCUAAUCAGAAAGCCACGGCUAACUACGUG
RNAcentral lists this ribosomal RNA (496 nucleotides) under uncultured bacterium. RNAcentral describes it as "partial 16S ribosomal RNA". It matches the Rfam family "Bacterial small subunit ribosomal RNA", at positions 28 to 507 of the family's 1533-position model. The record is from RNAcentral.